RNAcentral lists this transfer RNA (74 nucleotides) under Rhodococcus qingshengii. RNAcentral describes it as "tRNA-Trp". It matches the Rfam family "tRNA". Rfam says of the family: Transfer RNA (tRNA) molecules are approximately 80 nucleotides in length. Their secondary structure includes four short double-helical elements and three loops (D, anti-codon, and T loops). The record is from RNAcentral. Lineage: Bacteria; Bacillati; Actinomycetota; Actinomycetes; Mycobacteriales; Nocardiaceae.
GGGGAGUUGGUGAAGUGGUAUCACGGCGGUCUCCAAAACCGCAGUCGGCGGUUCAAUUCCGCCACACCCUGCCA